RNAcentral lists this long non-coding RNA (757 nucleotides) under Trifolium pratense (red clover). Its description in RNAcentral is "long non-coding RNA (TPRA_LNC008787)". Lineage: Eukaryota; Viridiplantae; Streptophyta; Magnoliopsida; Fabales; Fabaceae. The record is from RNAcentral.
GAAAAUGUUUCUUUGACACUAUAUCCAUUCAAAAUUUAAGAGAUAAAAAACCAAUAGAGAUACUAAUAUGGGGUUGAUGUCAUCAAGGUUUUUUAAAUUGCAGUCUGCAUCCGCAAUUGCAGAUGUAGUAUUGCUAAUACAGUAGCCUCGUAAUUUUUUCACGUUUACGGCCGUAACGCAACUGAAUCAAACGAUUUCGUUCAUGUUUGUUCGAAUUUUCUCACCGAAAAACAAAAUUUAUGAACCUCAAAUACUAAUCUGCAACAAAUCUAAUAAAAAAAUUUAUUUUUAACAAUCUCUUAACCGUAUAUUUUAAGUAUAUUCGAAUCAAUGUUAUGGAAUAAACUAAGACUCUGUAAUUGUGGAUAAAUAAUGUAGUGGCAUAGUGGUCUUAUUUUAUAUAAUACGUGAAAUUUCAAAAUUAUUACACGCCGGAACAAUCGCAUCGUGUGUUGCAGCAACCACAAUGAAAAACCAUGGAUGUGAUAGGAAGAGAUAUUGAGAAAAUUAAGAGGCCAAACUUUAAGAAAUGGGUAACAAUAAGAUACUACUACCAGAUGCCAUCCAGAAGACAGCCGAUGUUUGAGCAAAUCAAAACCCUCAAGUUUAUCAUCUUUGAACUGAGUUCUCGCAAUCCAUUAACCAAAUCAAGGUCUCAGAUUGUGAAAUUUGAUGACAAAUAGAAACAGACUCCAAAUCAUGUCCUUGGCCAAGGAAUUUGAAGACUGAUUCUUAACAUCCUUGAGGAAAAUCUUUC